Long non-coding RNA from Lycium barbarum (goji berry), 4130 nucleotides. RefSeq lists it as uncharacterized. NCBI's taxonomy places the organism in Eukaryota, Viridiplantae, Streptophyta, Magnoliopsida, Solanales, Solanaceae. The record is from RefSeq and is a predicted model, not a curated record. The transcript is spliced from 3 exons.
AUUUGGUCUUUAUAAAGUACAAUAUCCGGUCGUUUAAAUUAAAUUAAUUAGUGGAAAUAAGCGCCACUUUUUUCCCACUCUUUUUCUUUCUUGGUCAUGAUUUUCCCACUCUUUUAACAACCCACGCUCCACCCAAACCCCACUAUCCAAAAGAAAACCCUUAACCUCCUCCCUAUUUUGAUCAAUGUAUAACUUAAUCAGAGUUGUUCCAUAAAAAACCGCUCGCCAUCUAUGACAUAUAUGAUCUUCACCUGCAAUUGACUAACCAAUUAAGGAUCUUACAUUUUUCUUCUCUUUCUCAUCACGGUAAGUUUCUUCCAAAAUCACUAAACCUAGGGUUGUAUGAAAAACAAACACAUUUUAUUCAACUAUAUCUGUGAUGAAUUAACACCAAUUAAAGAUGUCUUGCUUGAGAAAUCGACUAAUAUCAACAGAACUAGUACAAUUUGUUGUUUAGAACUAAAGAUUUACAAACAUAUAUGUUGAUGGUGUCCUAAGAUCAGUAAUGGUGUGAAAAAUUAUGUCUCAUAGUAUUGUAUCGAUUUGAUUGAUGUUUAAUAGAACUUGUUAUGUAAUGGCAUGAACUGGUUGUGAAUAUAUUGCCCCUAAAUUCCUUGUUUCAGCUCAUCCGCUAGUUGUAACUAGUGAUUGUGGGAUUGGGUAUUCUUUUGUUCUUCAAAUAAUUUAGGUUUGAUGUGAUCAAUUAGCUUUUUUAGAAAAAAAUUGUAAUCUGCUUUUGAGUACUAGUACUUAAAUCUUGUAAUUGCUAAUUAGUCUGCUUAAUUUGACUAGUAGUAAUCAAAUUUUUAAGAAUUACUAGAUGAUAUUAAGGAGACGAUAGUCUAUCUCAUUCCCUCUCUGUUAGUGCUAUCUAUGAUACCGUGAUUUUAUUUCCAUUAUGCUGUGGCUAUGACUUCAGCGUUUUUCAUUAGACAUUGGUGAAUUAGUGACCAAUUUCCUUGAGGCUAUUCGGUUAAUCUAUCCUUGAUAGUAUUUUCUAUGCCCGAAACAUUCUUCCUCGCUGUUAGUACUUCUUUUCUGCCAGUUUCUUAUGAUAUAAAUAAAGUUGAGGUUGUUGCUGCCCAGUGACGCUAUUUGUUAGGCUAUCAUAUUGAUUCAUACUACUGUUGUCCUGAUUGUUGCUUGUGGCUAUGAUAUAAAUUUUUAUUAAGGUUCUGUUGUCACGUGAUCAUAUUCGUUGCGUUGAAUUUUACUGGUCUGAACAUUACUACACUUCUGGGUUUUGGCCUAGGAUACAAACUACAAUAGAGUUUAUUAUCCAUCACUGUUCCUCCGUUGCUUUUGUCCCUCGAUGCUAUCUGGUUUGGUGUUGAAAUUUCUUUACUUGCAAAUAAGUAAUUUUUUUGAGGCGGCGACGAUAAUAGUCUAGCAAAGACAGUGAGGCAAGCAAUUGCGGGGUUCGCUUCUCGGCACGACAACCUGGAUGUAGACGAUUGAUGCAACUGGUUGCAGCCGUGGCGUGGCCGGACCUUCUUCGCAUGUGCCUGAAUACAAAUCUGAGCCUCUAUUUCAAUUGUUCUCACCACCUUGGUAUCAUUAUUGUUCCAAUUAAGACCCUCAUUUUUCAUUGUUUGAACUCGUGUCACAAGGAUUUUGUUUUCAUCUCUACUUAACUUUAAAGUACUGUAGUAAAUACAGAUUUCUCGAAUGUGAAAAAUGCAUGUUUGCUUGUUUCAAGAAUAUGCCAAUAGCUAUUGUUAUCCAUACCUAAGUUACAUGUAAACUUAGAAGUAGCAAAAUGCAGUGAAAUCUAUUUCUAGCACCUAAAACUAUUUUUAGAAUAUUCCAAAACUGUUAAUGGUUACAUAUUCUAUUCUUUAUUUCCAUUCUUGCAAUUAUUCAUAAGGUUGAGGAUUUAGUUCGUACCCCCUAAAAUGCAAAAUGAUAGAUGUCACUUAAAAUUAUCAGUUAGAUUUUGAAGGAAACCUUUCCUUGUUUGUGCUGAAUUGCUAGUAACAGAAUGUUAGCCUCAAUGCUAUAUGAAAGAACAUUCUCCUUUGACUUACUUACAUGAUCUAACAUUAAUUAAUAUUUUUAUAUGAAAGUCUUGGUUUAUAAACAUGCUCAGAUUGUGAAUAUUGAGUAGUGACAGUUAAUCUCAUUAGUUUGAGAGUUUACAGACCCAAGAUUUCAAAGUCCUUAAUUCAAUAUAAGUCAAGUUCCCACAAAAAUCAGGUAGCCAAUCUUGACUUCAGACUUCUUUUUUUUUUUUUUUAUUUUAAGAAAUUCGAUCUCUUCUUUUGGAUGUAUUGUGCACUUAUUUAAAAUUUCAUAUUUUUUUUAUUUACUUUAUUUGAUUCUUAUAUCGCUAAUGCUUCUUUAAUUAUGUUACUUGAUUGUCCAGAUGCUAUCCUUCGUAUUAAAUGUGUUAAAAUGAUUCAUGUCGCCCGCAAGUCAAAUUACGCGCUUUACUUGUUUUAUUUUGACUUCUCAUGAAUCACUACAUCCGUAAGGUAGCACAUAUUUCUACUAAUCAAUCUCUCUUCUUUUGUGAGAUGUUUCUAUCUACAGAGUUUGAUUGAAGACGUUGCCUAGAAGAGAUGAAGGUCUUUCUGAUUCCAAUCGUCGACUUGUUCCUUCCCUCUCAGGAAUGUACACAAACACUACUUAACUAGUGCUUUAAUUAUUCUCUUACUUGGACUAAGUAUCUAGUGAUUAUUUUUACUUACUGCAUUCUUAGUUUCUGCCAAAAUAUUAGAGUGAUACAUCUAGUUUAUAUUAAUUAGUCGAGUAGCAUGAUGAAAGAGUUAAUGUGUUGGGGGUAGUCAUAGGAUUAAGCUUCUGAAUCAGUAGGAAUCUUGGCAUUUCAUUCUGUAGUUUAUUAUCUAGUAUUAGCAACAAGGAGAUAAGUUUUUCUUUUCUUAGUCCACUGGUUUGUAUAUGUAUUUCUAUUCUAAUAUGACCUGCCUAUGUUUGCUCUUAACUGGUGAAUCUCUUGAAUGUGAUAUACAAAUUCAAAUAUGCUAUUGCCUUAGAAUGUUAACAGUCUAUUAUUUGAAUGUAUGACCUCCUUUGCUAGAAAUGCAGUCAGUUAACAACAAAGCGUUAAUUGAGGAACUUGAUAAGAUUCUUGAGAGAUUGUGGAUACCCUCUAAGCUCUCUCUGUCUCCCCCCGAUCUUGUUCAUGAACACCCUUAAAUAAACUAAUGUUUCUAGGUCAUUCUUGUUUUAUAGAAUGCAGCAUCUUUAACAGGCUGUUCAUUUGAUGAGGCAAGAAUGCUUCAAAACAUUGAGGCAUGUGAGUGGUUAACUAAUUUGGAUCCUAGCUAUGCACAUAUGAGACUAUAUGUCCACUUCCUCGUUUCUUUCUUUCUGAUUCUUUUAGUUAUUUCUUCAUCAGUGUUGUGCUUUAUCGUAUAGGGUAGAAAAGGUUAAUACAUAUGGGCAUACAUAUCAAAGCAUAGCGCAAUUUUUGGCCUGAUCAGGUCUAGUUCUCAAGUGGUUGGGAAAUAAAAAAUGGUUGAAUUAUUGCAAAUACAUGGUAUAUGUAAAUUGUAUAUGUGACGCGACUGACCUUGAUGAACCUUGGCUGUAUAAGAUGGAUAGGGAACUCUUCCUUUUUUUUUUUUUUUUUUUUUUAUCAUUACCAGCUAAUUCUAAUUGAUAAACUUCUUGUUGGUUUUUAGGGGCUUAUGAUCUGUUACUAUAUAUGGAUGGGAAGUAUGGGAAUUGUAUUGUUACAUCUCAUGUGCUUGUUUGCCAAUUGAAGUGAAACAAAGCAAAGGAGAAACGAGCAGAGCUUGACAAGUUAAAAACGACAUUUGUUCGAAGAGCAUCUGAAUUCUGGAGAGACUAUUUUACCAGUUAGGUUGAUUUUAUAAUAAGUGACAAGAGUUAUUUUUCUCAGCAGAUCAAGAUUUGAAGUCCGAAGAACUUGUCCUUUGAAGAAAUUGCACAGCAAGUACAAGCGCAAUAGGUCUUUAUUAUAUUAGUGGUGUCUUAAAGAUGUUAUCAUUUGUACAUAUGUUAUAGUUUUACUUUUUUAGUUUUCAAGGAGUUGAUAAAAAUAAUGUCAUGCAAUUUGGAUGGGCAUAUAUUUUUGGUAAUAUGUACCUUUAGUACUUUGUAAUUAACAAUGAAUUUAUUUUAAUAAUAUUGAUUAUUUGGUA